This is a non-coding RNA of Cricetulus griseus (Chinese hamster), 380 nucleotides long. The record is from RefSeq and is a predicted model, not a curated record. NCBI's taxonomy places the organism in Eukaryota, Metazoa, Chordata, Mammalia, Rodentia, Cricetidae.
CAUAAUUGUGGUUGGGCACAUGCUUGCUAUUCCAAGCAGACCCACUCUCAUGUCUGUGUGCACGAGCAAGCACACACACAUGCAGAUGAUAGUGAUUGUGGAAGACCAGAGCUUGAAACAGAGGAAAAAAAAGACAAACUGAAGAAGAGAAAGUGAUAUGAUCAGGUGUCAGGAUACCAAACCCCUGCUUGUGAAAGAAUACUAGUGUCUGUCCUUUGUCCACCCUGCUUACGGAACACAGAGUGCCCAGUCAAUGGUGAUAGAUGUGACAUCAUAUGGAAAAAAUUAAAAGAAAAGGCAAACACCUUAAGGAUGCUUCAAACUCAUACAUACCUAACAGAUAAAGGGGGAAGUAAAAACCAUGCUCUAAACUAUUUGCA